CGCCUCCCGGCGCACCGACGCGCCUCUCCGGUUACUAAGCGGCCUUGGAUACCUGGCCGCGGGAUGCUGGGCGGCGUCAGGUGACCGGUGGUCGCUGGGCCUCAGGUAACCAUGGAGAAAGAGCUGCGGAGCACCAUUCUUUUCAAUGCCUACAAAAAGGAGAUAUUUACCACCAACAAUGGCUAUAAAUCCAUGCAGAAAAAACUUCGGAGUAAUUGGAAGAUUCAGAGGUGA
Molecule: long non-coding RNA, 234 nt
Filed under: Pan troglodytes (chimpanzee)
Lineage: Eukaryota; Metazoa; Chordata; Mammalia; Primates; Hominidae
Description: long non-coding RNA NONPTRT008946
Source: RNAcentral